GAUGAACGCUGGCGGCGUGCCUAAUACAUGCAAGUCGAGCGAACAGACGAGGAGCUUGCUCCUCUGACGUUAGCGGCGGACGGGUGAGUAACACGUGUAUACCCUACCUAUAAGACUGGGAUAACUUCGGGACACCGGAGCUAAUACCGGAUAAUAUAUUGAACCGCAUGGUUCAAUAGUGAAAUACGGCUUUUCUGUCUCUUAUAGAUGGAUCCGCGCCGCAUUAGCUAGUUGGUAAGGUAACGGCUUACCAAGGCGACGAUGCGUAGCCGACCUGAGAGGGUGAUCGGCCACACUGGAGCUGAGACACGGUCCAGACUCCUACGGGAGGCAGCAGUAGGGAAUCUUCCGCAAUGGGCGAAAGCCUGACGGAGCAACGCCGCGUGAGUGAUGAAGGUCUUCGGAUCGUAAAACUCUGUUAUUAGGGAAGAACAAAUGUGUAAGUAACUAUGCACGUCUUGACGGUACCUAAUCAGAAAGCCACGGCUAACUACGUG
This 497-nucleotide ribosomal RNA is filed under the name uncultured bacterium. RNAcentral describes it as "partial 16S ribosomal RNA". It matches the Rfam family "Bacterial small subunit ribosomal RNA", at positions 28 to 507 of the family's 1533-position model. The record is from RNAcentral.